Non-coding RNA from Carica papaya (papaya), 730 nucleotides. NCBI's taxonomy places the organism in Eukaryota, Viridiplantae, Streptophyta, Magnoliopsida, Brassicales, Caricaceae. The record is from RefSeq and is a predicted model, not a curated record.
UCCAAUUCCCACUAGCGUGAAUGUUGUUUAUACUUCAUACAUGAAAGGAAAUCGCCCUGCCACCAACCCUGGUUAAGACCGUGUUUGGUAGCCACUUAUUUUCGCUCUGUAAUGUCCACAUAUUUAAUCUACAGAUUUGGUCCCUGUCAAUCAAAUAUUUGGAUUGAAGAAAAACAGAAAAAAAGCAAAAAAGCCCCACACCCAAACGCAGUCUUAGCCCUCCAACUAACUCUUGCUGUUCCUACCAACUCCCGCACUGUAAAUACAUACAGGAAGACGGCAGUGGCGAACACCAAUCUUGCUGAGAGACUCAUAGCCAGAGGACUCGUUUAUUCUGGUUCAUGCUUAAAUCUACCGGGGCGCUGGAUUAAUCGAAGACUGGUUAAAUUAUAUAAGUAAUGGAGGUGACAGUUGCACAGAGGCUGCAGUACCCAAUAUGGAUUGAUUUGAAUAUGAAUAAAAGAAACCUACGGGGUUUCUUUCCGAUUUCUCGAAGACUACAGGAACGGCGGGGGCUUCAGAUGCUUGUUUCAAAUCAUUUGCAGCAUCAUAGAACUGCAAAUCGUCAUAGAUUAGCUUCUUUGGUGGUUUCUUGUUCUUACAGUAGUUCUCCAGGUACUUGCGAAGCUUUUUAGUCUCUUAUCAUGGUGGAGGAUUUAGUUUUAAAAAUUGUGGUUCUUCAGCUGAACUUUUUUUGAAUGAAUGAAGAUUGAGUUGGAUUGGGUAAAUA